RNAcentral lists this ribosomal RNA (492 nucleotides) under uncultured bacterium. RNAcentral's name for it is "partial 16S ribosomal RNA". It matches the Rfam family "Bacterial small subunit ribosomal RNA", at positions 29 to 507 of the family's 1533-position model. The record is from RNAcentral.
AGUGAACGCUGGCGGUAGGCCUAACACAUGCAAGUCGAACGGCAGCACAGUAAGAGCUUGCUCUUACGGGUGGCGAGUGGCGGACGGGUGAGGAAUACAUCGGAAUCUACUUUUUCGUGGGGGAUAACGUAUGGAAACUUACGCUAAUACCUCAUACGACCUACGGGUGAAAGAAGGGGAUCUUCUGACCUUGCGCGAUUGCAUGAGCCGAUGUCGGAUUAGCUAGUUGGCGGGGUAAAGGCCCACCAAGGCGACGAUCCGUAGCUGGUCUGAGAGGAUGAUCAGCCACACUGGAACUGAGACACGGUCCAGACUCCUACGGGAGGCAGCAGUGGGGAAUAUUGGACAAUGGGCGCAAGCCUGAUCCAGCCAUACCGCGUGGGUGAAGAAGGCCUUCGGGUUGUAAAGCCCUUUUGUUGGGAAAGAAAAGCAGCAGGUUAAUACCCCGCUGUUAUGACGGUACCCAAAGAAUAAGCACCGGCUAACUUCGUG